Molecule: microRNA precursor, 56 nt
Filed under: Neolamprologus brichardi
Lineage: Eukaryota; Metazoa; Chordata; Actinopteri; Cichliformes; Cichlidae
Description: microRNA nbr-mir-10571 precursor
Source: miRBase by way of RNAcentral
AAGUGACUUUGGCUGGCUUUGGUAAAUCACUUAGCAAAGAUCUGCUGACGUCACUU